AAGAGACAGCAGCAGCCGCGGUAAUACGAAGGGGGCUAGCGUUGUUCGGAAUUACUGGGCGUAAAUGGCGCGUAGGCGGCCAUUCAAGUUAGAUGUGAAAGCCCUGGGCUCAACCUAGGAAUUGCAUUUGAUACUGUUUGGCUUGAGUUCGGGAGAGGUGAGUGGAAUUCCCAGUGUAGAGGUGAAAUUCGUAGAUAUUGGGAAGAACACCAGUGGCGAAGGCGGCUCACUGGACCGACACUGACGCUGAGGCGCGAAAGCGUGGGGAGCAAACAGGAUUAGAUACCCCAGUAGUCCCUGUCUCUUAUAC
Molecule: ribosomal RNA, 310 nt
Filed under: uncultured bacterium
Lineage: Bacteria
Description: partial 16S ribosomal RNA
Rfam family: Bacterial small subunit ribosomal RNA
Source: RNAcentral